RNAcentral lists this ribosomal RNA (497 nucleotides) under uncultured bacterium. Its description in RNAcentral is "partial 16S ribosomal RNA". It matches the Rfam family "Bacterial small subunit ribosomal RNA", at positions 28 to 507 of the family's 1533-position model. The record is from RNAcentral.
GAUGAACGCUGGCGGCGUGCCUAAUACAUGCAAGUCGAGCGAACAGACGAGGAGCUUGCUCCUCUGACGUUAGCGGCGGACGGGUGAGUAACACGUGGAUAACCUACCUAUAAGACUGGGAUAACUUCGGGAAACCGGAGCUAAUACCGGAUAAUAUAUUGAACCGCAUGGUUCAAUAGUGAAAGACGGUUUUGCUGUCACUUAUAGAUGGAUCCGCGCCGCAUUAGCUAGUUGGUAAGGUAACGGCUUACCAAGGCAACGAUGCGUAGCCGACCUUAGAGGGUGAUCGGCCACACGGGAACUGAGACACGGUCCAGACUCCUACGGGAGGCAGCAGUAGGGAAUCUUCCGCAAUGGGCGAAAGCCUGACGGAGCAACGCCGCGUGAGUGAUGAAGGUCUUCGGAUCGUAAAACUCUGUUAUUAGGGAAGAACAAAUGUGUAAGUAACUAUGCACGUCUUGACGGUACCUAAUCAGAAAGCCACGGCUAACUACGUG